This 130-nucleotide non-coding RNA is filed under the name Solanum lycopersicum (tomato). Its description in RNAcentral is "Bacterial small subunit ribosomal RNA". It matches the Rfam family "Bacterial small subunit ribosomal RNA", at positions 1062 to 1187 of the family's 1533-position model. The record is from Rfam by way of RNAcentral. Lineage: Eukaryota; Viridiplantae; Streptophyta; Magnoliopsida; Solanales; Solanaceae. RNAcentral also lists the same sequence under 1 other name.
GUCGUUAGAAUUAAUUUGUAGCUAUUAAAGAAGAGAACGAGCGCAACCCUCGUGUUUAGUUGCCAUCGUUGAGUUUGGAACCUUGAACAGACUGCCGGCGAUAAGCCUGAGGAAGGUGAGGAUGACGUCA